AUGUUCUGCUGUCCUUGUCUCUUGUGCAAACCUUCAGUUUUCGUGAUAAAUCCAAGGGAGCCAGGAGAGCAAGCACAACCCCUGCUCCGGAGGCCCUGCCCUGCCCGUGGCAUCCUCCGAGCAUGCUUUCCUCUGACCCGCUGGCUGCACCUGUCGAUUCCUCAAGCCGCCAUCCCCGCCCAGCCCCACUAUGUCCCUGUUCUGUUUAUUUCAGGACGCAGCUAUCUCUGUGGAGCAGGUGUGGGACACUCUCCCCGUGACAGUCUUGGGUGGACCUGUUGUCUGUCCUGUUUUACCCCCCACACCCCCCAAGAGGCCUCCCCGUGGCCACCACCGCCACUACCACUUCUCAAUGAUGUGGCUCAUGUAGUCCUCGGUGGGCACGCGGCCCGGCUCGUCAGCGUCCUCCCGCGGCAGCGCCUCCUUGGCCCGGUGCAGCAGGCGCUCCUCGCGGCUCCUCAGGCGCUGCUCCCUGCGCUCCAGCUGCCGCUUGUACUGGUAGCGCUGCUGGAAGAGGUCCUUGGCGUAGUCGUACAGCUGCAUGUCCAGGUCGUUGAGCUCCUCGAUGCGCCGGAUGGUGUCCUCGUCCACCUCCACGCCGCCCGCCCGCGUGCUGUUGUACUGCAUGAAGGGCCGGAUGAACUUGAGGUUGAACGUCCGCUCGAACAGGUACUGCGUCUUGCGCUGGAACUCGGUCAGGCCAAAGAAGGCCAUGCCCCGCAGGUUCUUCUUGGCGCUCUCAAGCAGCAGCUGGGCCCGCUUGCCCUCGGGGAUGAAGGACAGGUUGUAGCAGCCCACCAGGCUCAGGUCGGCCAGCAUGCGCACCUGGCGGUUGUUGGCCAGGUUGUACGGGCAGUCCAUGAACUCCUGCAGCGUGCAGCCCGACCAGUCCGUGCCCUCGUAGCAGGGCGGCAGCUCCUCGGGCGUGGGCGUGCGUCCGUCACACAUGUGCAACGACGUCUUCCACGUGGCACCCCUCUGCACGUGCCGCCACUCACUCAGGUAGCGGGACACGGGGUCUCGUAG
Molecule: long non-coding RNA, 1026 nt
Organism: Papio anubis (olive baboon)
Lineage: Eukaryota; Metazoa; Chordata; Mammalia; Primates; Cercopithecidae
Source: Ensembl